This 253-nucleotide ribosomal RNA is filed under the name uncultured bacterium. Its description in RNAcentral is "partial 16S ribosomal RNA". It matches the Rfam family "Bacterial small subunit ribosomal RNA", at positions 524 to 776 of the family's 1533-position model. The record is from RNAcentral.
UACGAAGGGGGCGAGCGUUGUUCGGAAUUACUGGGCGUAAAGGGCGCGUAGGCGGCCGUGGAAGUCAGGCGUGAAAGCCCCGGGCUCAACCUGGGAAUUGCGCUUGAUACGGAUGGGCUAGAGUUCGGGAGAGGAGUGUGGAAUUCCCGGUGUAGCGGUGAAAUGCGCAGAUAUCGGGAAGAACACCCGUGGCGAAGGCGGCACUCUGGGACGGUACUGACGCUGAGACGCGAAAGCGUGGGGAGCGAACAGG